ACUGGUGGUCCUUGGUACACAGUGAAACCAUCCUCAGGGCAAAUCUUCACUGAGUGUCAGAGGAAUGCAAAAGCUGUUUCAUUCAGAUACCCACAUCUAUUUCUCACUGUAGCUAUGCAAGCUACGUGUCUGCAUUCUGCUCUGCUCUGCCUGGACAGAAUUCUGAUGCAGAUGAAUGAGGAAGAUGUCCUGCCAGGAAGGAAUGAAGAGGGAUGGCAGCGGUGUAAUUUCUAAUUAAUUAAUCCAUCAUGAUUAACUUCUGACAUUGAA
Long non-coding RNA from Pseudopipra pipra, 270 nucleotides. RefSeq lists it as uncharacterized. The transcript is spliced from 2 exons. The record is from RefSeq and is a predicted model, not a curated record. Lineage: Eukaryota; Metazoa; Chordata; Aves; Passeriformes; Pipridae.